CGCGGCGUGGCGGGGCCGGGGCGGAGCUGGCGUCGCCCCGGGCAGGAGGGCGGCCGCGGCCGGCAGGACAGGCAGACGGACAGGCUGACAGGCGAGAGAACAGGCACUGCGGGACCGGCAGGAGAAAGGCGAUCCUGUGGCUGGGAAUGUGACCCCACGGCCAGAGGAGGACCCGGUAUCCUCAGGUCGGAGCCCCUGGACAGCAGCCCCAGGCCCAGCUGGCCAUGGCCCUGUGCCUGAAGCAGGUGUUUGCCAAGGACAAGACGUUCCGGCCGCGGAAGCGCUUUGAGCCGGGCACACAGCGCUUUGAGCUGUACAAGAAGGCACAGGCCUCUCUCAAGUCGGGCCUGGACCUGCGCAGUGUGGUGAGGCUGCCACCCGGGGAGAACAUCGACGACUGGAUCGCCGUGCACGUGGUGGACUUCUUCAACCGCAUCAACCUCAUCUACGGCACUAUGGCCGAGCGCUGCAGUGAGACCAGCUGCCCGGUCAUGGCCGGCGGGCCCCGCUACGAGUACCGCUGGCAGGACGAGCGCCAGUACCGGCGGCCGGCCAAGCUCUCUGCGCCGCGCUAUAUGGCGCUGCUCAUGGACUGGAUCGAAGGCCUCAUCAACGACGAAGAGGUCUUUCCCACGCGUGUUGGAGUUCCCUUCCCUAAGAACUUCCAGCAGGUCUGCACCAAGAUCCUGACCCGCCUCUUCCGAGUCUUUGUCCAUGUCUACAUCCACCACUUCGAUAGCAUCCUCAGCAUGGGGGCAGAGGCGCACGUCAACACCUGCUACAAGCACUUCUACUACUUCAUCCGCGAGUUCAGUCUGGUGGACCAGCGGGAGCUGGAGCCACUG
Molecule: small RNA, 845 nt
Filed under: Pongo abelii (Sumatran orangutan)
Lineage: Eukaryota; Metazoa; Chordata; Mammalia; Primates; Hominidae
Description: processed transcript
Source: RNAcentral